This 253-nucleotide ribosomal RNA is filed under the name uncultured bacterium. Its description in RNAcentral is "partial 16S ribosomal RNA". It matches the Rfam family "Bacterial small subunit ribosomal RNA", at positions 524 to 776 of the family's 1533-position model. The record is from RNAcentral.
UACAGAGGUCUCAAGCGUUGUUCGGAUUCAUUGGGCGUAAAGAGCUCGUAGGCGGCUUGUCGCGUCGACCGUGAAAACUCGCAGCUCAACUGCGAGCCUGCGGUCGAUACGGGCAGGCUAGAGUUCGGUAGGGGAGACUGGAAUUCCUGGUGUAGCGGUGAAAUGCGCAGAUAUCAGGAGGAACACCGGUGGCGAAGGCGGGUCUCUGGGCCGAUACUGACGCUGAGGAGCGAAAGCGUGGGGAGCGAACAGG